CCUUACUUUGCCCACUUACUGCCCACUCAUGCUUCUGUCUCAGUCCCUCCCUAGGGGAAAUUUUUCCUGACCUUUGUAACUAAAGCAAAGCCUUCUCCUGGGUGCUCUCUUGUUCCAGAGACCUGCCUGCACAGCACUUGUACCAGUUAAACCUUUACAUUAACUAGAGUGAAGAUAUGUUAGUGUCCACUGCUGCCUCGCAGGAAUAAAGCCAGAAAAGAUGAAGAAGAUGAGACUCAGAGCAAUACAUAAGUUGCCCAAGGUCAGAGAGCAAUGACCAUAUCAGAGCACGGUGUACAUCUCUUGCAGUAUUCAGAAUAUUUCUCUAUGGGCAGCAACAUUUUUCUCUCCUUAUCUGGAUAUUAGGAAGAAUAUCACAGGACCGGCUUACAGCGCCAGUCACAUCUGACCAUAUCAGAGCACAGUGUACUCCUCUUGCCGUAUUCAGAGGAUUUGCCUAUGGGCAGCAACAUUAUUCUCUCGUUCUCUGGAUAUUAGGAACAAUAUCACAGGACCGGCGGACAGCCCCAGUCAUAUCGUGAGUAAUGUCAUCUGUAAUCCCUUAGUUAUUAGAAAAAAUAUCACGGGGGUCUUGUGUGCUUUAUCAGAUACUUGGAGUAAUAUCUUUUCCGUUUUUGGAUAUUAGACACGAUACUACAGUGGUGGUGUACACUUCCUGCGAUAUUCAGGGUAUAAUAAUCUUUUGUCCCCAGGAUAUUAGGUAGUACAUUAAAGAAGCCUUGUACUUUGCCUGUGAUAUUGGAACAAUCACAGAGUGAACACUUGCUUUCAAAAUGAGAGUAAUACCUACUUAAAAUAUGAUGGAUAAUAUCAAAAAAUGGACACACAUGGGUGUAUACCCACUUUGAUAUAGAAAGAAAUUUUUAUCUAAUAUACUAAAAAUCAUAUAUCACAAUAUACUCAUAAUGUGUACACUUAUUGAGAUGUUACAAUCAAUGUGCAGAAUACAUA
This 972-nucleotide long non-coding RNA is filed under the name Callithrix jacchus (white-tufted-ear marmoset). RNAcentral's name for it is "lncRNA (ENSCJAG00000063970.2)". The record is from RNAcentral. Lineage: Eukaryota; Metazoa; Chordata; Mammalia; Primates; Cebidae.